Molecule: ribosomal RNA, 254 nt
Filed under: uncultured bacterium
Lineage: Bacteria
Description: partial 16S ribosomal RNA
Rfam family: Bacterial small subunit ribosomal RNA
Source: RNAcentral
UACGUAGGGGGCAAGCGUUGUCCGGAAUCAUUGGGCGUAAAGAGCGUGUAGGCGGCCCAAUAAGUCAGCUGUGAAAUCGCUGGGCUCAACCCAUGCAAUUGCAGUUGAUACUGUCGGGCUUGAAUGGGGUUGAGGCUGGCGGAAUGCGGCAUGUAGCGGUGAAAUGCUUAGAUAUGCCGCAGAACACCGAUUGCGAAGGCAGCCAGCUGGGCCUUGAUUGACGCUGAGGCACGAAAGCGUGGGGAGCAAACAGG